CCUACGGGCGGCAGCAGUAGGGAAUAUUGCUCAAUGGGGGAAACCCUGAAGCAGCAACGCCGCGUGGAGGAUGAAGGUUUUCGGAUUGUAAACUCCUUUUGUUAGAGAAGAUAAUGACGGUAUCUAACGAAUAAGCACCGGCUAACUCCGUGCCAGCAGCCGCGGUAAUACGGAGGGUGCAAGCGUUACUCGGAAUCACUGGGCGUAAAGAGCGCGUAGGCGGGAUAGCAAGUCAGAUGUGAAAUCCUAGGGCUUAACCAUAGAACUGCAUUUGAAACUGUUAUUCUAGAGUAUGGGAGAGGUAGGUGGAAUUCUUGGUGUAGGGUUAAAAUCCGUAGAGAUCAAGAGGAAUACUCAUUGCGAAGGCGACCUGCUAGAACAUAACUGACGCUGAUGCGCGAAAGCGUGGGGAGCAAACAGGAUUAGAUACCCGUGUAGUC
RNAcentral lists this ribosomal RNA (440 nucleotides) under uncultured bacterium. Its description in RNAcentral is "partial 16S ribosomal RNA". It matches the Rfam family "Bacterial small subunit ribosomal RNA", at positions 338 to 795 of the family's 1533-position model. The record is from RNAcentral.